UCCAGACUCCUACGGGAGGCAGCAGUGGGGGAUAUUGCACAAUGGGGGAAACCCUGAUGCAGCGACGCCGCGUGAGUGAAGAAGUAUUUCGGUAUGUAAAGCUCUAUCAGCAGGGAAGAAAAAAGACGGUACCUGACUAAGAAGCCCCGGCUAACUACGUGCCAGCAGCCGCGGUAAUACGUAGGGGGCAAGCGUUAUCCGGAUUUACUGGGUGUAAAGGGAGCGUAGACGGCAAUACAAGUCGGAAGUGAAAUACCCGGGCUCAACCUGGGAACUGCUUUGGAAACUGUAUGGCUGGAGUGCUGGAGAGGUAAGCGGAAUUCCUAGUGUAGCGGUGAAAUGCGUAGAUAUUAGGAGGAACACCAGUGGCGAAGGCGGCUUACUGGACAGUAACUGACGUUGAGGCUCGAAAGCGUGGGGAGCAAACAGGAUUAGAUACCCCUGUAUAA
This 449-nucleotide ribosomal RNA is filed under the name uncultured bacterium. RNAcentral describes it as "bacterial SSU rRNA". It matches the Rfam family "Bacterial small subunit ribosomal RNA", at positions 330 to 793 of the family's 1533-position model. The record is from RNAcentral.